RNAcentral lists this ribosomal RNA (532 nucleotides) under Cyclophora tenuis. RNAcentral's name for it is "SSU rRNA". The stretch from base 10 to 468 matches the Rfam family "Eukaryotic small subunit ribosomal RNA", at positions 623 to 1113 of the family's 1831-position model. Lineage: Eukaryota; Bacillariophyta; Fragilariophyceae; Cyclophorales; Cyclophoraceae. The record is from RNAcentral.
GUUGCAGCUAAAGCUCGUAGUUGGAUUUGUGGUUGCAGUGGCUGGUCCCGCACUGUGUGUGGGUACUUUGUUUUCUGCGAUCAUCCUUGGGUGGAAUCUGUGUGGCAUUAGGUUGUCGUGCAGGGGAUGCCCAUCGUUUACUGUGAAAAAAUUAGAGUGUUCAAAGCAGGCUUAUGCCGUUGAAUAUAUUAGCAUGGAAUAAUGAGAUAGGACCUGGGUACUAUUUUGUUGGUUUGCGCACCGAGGUAAUGAUUAAUAGGGACAGUUGGGGGUAUUCGUAUUCCAUUGUCAGAGGUGAAAUUCUUGGAUUUUUGGAAGACGAACUACUGCGAAAGCAUUUACCAAGGAUGUUUUCAUUAAUCAAGAACGAAAGUUAGGGGAUCGAAGAUGAUUAGAUACAUUUCGUAGUCCACCCCCAUUCUUAGACCGCUCAAAGACGAACUACAGCGAAGGCAUUCUCCAAGGGAUACCUUCCUCAAUCAAAGAACCAAAGUGUGGAGAUCGAUGAUGAUUAGAUACCAUCCGUAGUCAA